UUCCCGGUUGUGUAAUUGGUAGCACCCAAGAUUCUGGCUCUUGUUGUGGGGGUUCGAGUCCUCCCCGGGAAG
This 72-nucleotide transfer RNA is filed under the name Spirochaetaceae bacterium. Its description in RNAcentral is "tRNA-Gln". It matches the Rfam family "tRNA". Rfam says of the family: Transfer RNA (tRNA) molecules are approximately 80 nucleotides in length. Their secondary structure includes four short double-helical elements and three loops (D, anti-codon, and T loops). Lineage: Bacteria; Pseudomonadati; Spirochaetota; Spirochaetia; Spirochaetales; Spirochaetaceae. The record is from RNAcentral.